Molecule: unclassified non-coding RNA, 856 nt
Filed under: Leishmania donovani
Lineage: Eukaryota; Euglenozoa; Kinetoplastea; Trypanosomatida; Trypanosomatidae
Description: gene:LdHU3.31.5580(CDS-product:histone_H4)
Source: RNAcentral
UCUCCACUCAGAGCCGUUGCGCUUUCAAGCUCACACCGUUUUCAUCUCUCCUCUCCCCUAACAUUUUAACAAUGGCCAAGGGCAAGCGCUCCGCUGAUGCCAAGGGCAGCCAGAGGCGCCAGAAGAAGGUGCUGCGCGACAACAUCCGCGGCAUCACUCGCGGCUGCGUCCGCCGCAUGGCGCGCCGCGGUGGCGUGAAGCGCAUCUCGAGCGAGGUCUACGAAGAGGUGCGCCGCGUGCUGAAGGCCUACGUGGAGGACAUUGUGCGCUGCAGCACGGCCUACACCGAGUACGCGCGCAAGAAGACGGUGACGGCGUGCGAUGUUGUGAACGCGCUGCGCAAGCAAGGCCACAUCCUGUACGGCUACGCGUAAAUGCUCGCAGAGCCGCUGCACACUCAUAGAUACACCUUCUUUGUUCAUGCCGUCGUUUCUGUGGUUUCCUUGGUUUUCGACUUCCCCUCCCCCCCACUAUGGCUUUUCUUCUGUCUCGUGCUGACACCCUUCCCUACCCAUCGCUGUUUGCUGGCGGCAGUACAGAAAGAAAACAGCACACCCACUCCACUGCAUACCUGGAGAGCGGUCGUGCGCGGCCGUAUCCGAAGCACGCUCUCGGCGUCCGUGUCUAUGGAGGCUGAGUGCAGCCCCGCCCCCUCCCUGCCUCCCUCAACGCCCGCCGGCGCCAGAGGUCACCACGCGGGAUGCUGGGCCGCCUCUUCGACAUUGCCACUCCUCCUCCGCCGCUUGCUCGCUCAUUCUCUAUGCCAGAGUGCCAUGCGCUCCCUUUCACUCUUUGCGCUUCUCUUCGUCUCCUCCUGUUCUCUGUUCGCACACACAUAACACGCACGAGCUCACAG